AUUGAACGCUGGCGGAAUGCUUUACACAUGCAAGUCGAACGGUAGAGGGGGCAACCCCUCGAGAGUGGCGAACGGGUGAGUAAUAUAUCGGAACGUGCCCAGUCGUGGGGGAUAAAGUAGCGAAAGUUACGCUAAUACCCCAUACGACCUAAGGAUGAAAGCCAGGGAUAGCAAGACCGCGCGCGACUGGAGCGGCCGAUAACAGAUGAGGUAGUUGGUGGGGUAAAGGGCCACCAAGCCAACGAUCUGUAGCUGGUUUGAGAGGACGGCCAGCCACACUGGAACUGAGACACGGUCCAAACUCCUACGGGAGGCAGCAGUGGGGAAUUUUGGACAAAGGACGCAAGUCUGAUCCAGCCAUUCCGCGGGCAGGAUGAAGGCCCGCGGGUUGUAAACUGCUUUUGUACUGAACGAAAAGGUCUCUCUGAAUACGGGGGACUCAUGACGGUACCGUAAGAAUAAGCACCGGCUAACUACGUGCCAGCCGCCGCAGUAA
Molecule: ribosomal RNA, 496 nt
Filed under: uncultured bacterium
Lineage: Bacteria
Description: partial 16S ribosomal RNA
Rfam family: Bacterial small subunit ribosomal RNA
Source: RNAcentral